UACGUAGGGGGCAAGCGUUGUCCGGAAUCAUUGGGCGUAAAGCGCGUGUAGGCGGCUCGGUAAGUCUGCUCUGAAAGCCCGGGGCUCAACCCUGGGAGGCGGGUGGAUACUGCUGAGCUCGAGUCCGGAAGAGGCGAGUGGAAUUCCUGGUGUAGCGGUGAAAUGCGCAGAUAUCAGGAGGAACACCGAUGGCGAAGGCAGGUCUCUGGGCCACUACUGACGCUGAGAAGCGAAAGCAUGGGGAGCGAACAGG
Molecule: ribosomal RNA, 253 nt
Filed under: uncultured bacterium
Lineage: Bacteria
Description: partial 16S ribosomal RNA
Rfam family: Bacterial small subunit ribosomal RNA
Source: RNAcentral